UCUCAGGCGUGGCCUUCUGGAGCGCCACGGCAUUCAGCUGUUCCGUCGUGUCUUCGUGUUACAAUAAAGUUUUCCUCCCUGUACGGAGCUCAAGAUGGCGGCCUCCUGGUCGCCCUUGGUUACCCUGCGCUCCGCGGCGCGUAGCCGGCUGACUGGGAGAGGUGUUGGGUGCGGGGCGCGGGUCAUCGCAAUCUCUCCUCCGGCCCCUGGCCCUAGGAAACCCCUUUGGAAAG
Molecule: long non-coding RNA, 233 nt
Filed under: Rattus norvegicus (Norway rat)
Lineage: Eukaryota; Metazoa; Chordata; Mammalia; Rodentia; Muridae
Description: long non-coding RNA NONRATT032848
Source: RNAcentral